Molecule: ribosomal RNA, 442 nt
Filed under: uncultured Sedimentibacter sp.
Lineage: Bacteria; Bacillati; Bacillota; Tissierellia
Description: bacterial SSU rRNA
Rfam family: Bacterial small subunit ribosomal RNA
Source: RNAcentral
CCUACGGGGGGCUGCAGUGGGGAAUAUUGCACAAUGGAGGGAACUCUGAUGCAGCGACGCCGCGUGAGUGAAGAAGGUCUUCGGAUCGUAAAACUCUGUCCUUGGUGACGAAAAAAAUGACGGUAGCCAAGGAGGAAGCCCCGGCUAACUACGUGCCAGCAGCCGCGGUAAUACGUAGGGGGCGAGCGUUGUCCGGAUUUACUGGGCGUAAAGGGUGAGUAGGCGGUUAUAUAUGUCAGGUGUAAAAAGCUAUGGCUUAACCAUAGUAAGCACUUGAAACUGUAUGACUUGAGUGCAGGAGAGGUAAGCGGAAUUCCUAGUGUAGCGGUGAAAUGCGUAGAUAUUAGGAGGAACACCGGUGGCGAAGGCGGCUUACUGGACUGUAACUGACGCUGAGUCACGAAAGCGUGGGUAGCAAACAGGAUUAGAUACCCCGGUAGUC